RNAcentral lists this ribosomal RNA (501 nucleotides) under uncultured bacterium. RNAcentral describes it as "partial 16S ribosomal RNA". It matches the Rfam family "Bacterial small subunit ribosomal RNA", at positions 29 to 523 of the family's 1533-position model. The record is from RNAcentral.
AUUGAACGCUGGCGGCAUGCCUUACACAUGCAAGUCGAACGGCUGCACGGGUGCUUGCACCUGGUGGCGAGUGGCGAACGGGUGAGUAAUACAUCGGAACGUACCUUAUCGUGGGGGAUAACGCAGCGAAAGCUGUGCUAAUACCGCAUACGCCCUGAGGGGGAAAGCGGGGGAUCGCAAGACCUCGCGCGAUUAGAGCGGCCGAUGCCUGAUUAGCUUGUUGGUGGGGUAAAAGCCCACCAAGGCGACGAUCAGUAGCUGGUCUGAGAGGACGAUCAGCCACACUGGGACUGAGACACGGCCCAGACUCCUACGGGAGGCAGCAGUGGGGAAUUUUGGACAAUGGGGGCAACCCUGAUCCAGCAAUGCCGCGUGAGUGAAGAAGGCCUUCGGGUUGUGAAGCUCUUUUGUCAGGGAAGAAACACCGGCUCUAACACAGUCCGGGAAUGACGGUACCUGAAGAAUAAGCACCGGCUAACUACGUGCCAGCCGCCGCGGUAA